GGACCCGUGGUGUAGCGGUCUAACAUGCCUCCCUGUCACGGAGGAGAUCGGCGGUUCGAAUCCGCUCGGGGUCGCCA
This 77-nucleotide transfer RNA is filed under the name Chloroflexota bacterium. Its description in RNAcentral is "Chloroflexi bacterium tRNA-Asp". It matches the Rfam family "tRNA". Rfam says of the family: Transfer RNA (tRNA) molecules are approximately 80 nucleotides in length. The record is from RNAcentral. Lineage: Bacteria; Bacillati; Chloroflexota.